UGAUUUGGAAGCUGAAAUGGACCUUGGCUA
This 30-nucleotide non-coding RNA is filed under the name Homo sapiens (human). Lineage: Eukaryota; Metazoa; Chordata; Mammalia; Primates; Hominidae. The record is from RNAcentral.